This is a long non-coding RNA of Pantherophis guttatus, 2525 nucleotides long. RefSeq lists it as uncharacterized. Lineage: Eukaryota; Metazoa; Chordata; Lepidosauria; Squamata; Colubridae. The record is from RefSeq and is a predicted model, not a curated record.
GAAGCAUAUUACAAAGUUUAGAUCAUGUCUGUAAUAAUGGGAAUCCAUUUUAAAUUGUCUGUAACAACUGGGAAUCCUUUUGAAACCAAAACAGCCACAACUUUAGCUUUUGUUGAAGUAUCUGUGAGAUAGACCUGUCCUACCCAAUUUUUUAUUAAUAGAGAUUUAUCCUGUUCCAUUAAAUGAGUCUCCUAUAGAUAAGCAAUAUCUGCCCUUAAUUAUAUUAAAUAUGCUAAGAUUACAUUUGUUCCCUUGGGUUCUCAAAACCAUUUUACAUUAAGGUUAAGUAACUUCAUUCUCAGUCAGAUCAGAAUUUGGAGAUUGGGGCUAAAGUAGUAGACAGUAUAGAACAGGGUAAUAGCUUACCUCAUAAUAUUUCCGUAUUUUUCCAUCCAUUUCCUAUCAGCUCAGUUGUUGAUAAUGAACUGCACUCCAAAUUAAUGCAAAGAUAAAGCAUGCUAUAAAAUAUUUAAUACCCUUCAAAACACGAAGAUGGUAAGUGAAUCAACGAGCUCUUAUAAUCAUGUCAUCUUGUUGAAGUUUAUGAGAUAAUUAUAAAUCAGAUUAAAUUAAUAUGAGCCAUCUUUGGAGAUGCUGUUAUCAGCAUGUUCACAGUUAAUUCUGCUUGUACAUGGUUUAGAAAACACUGAUGUUGCUUAAUGAGACAAUAUUUAAUCUUUCUGAUUCUUCCAUAGCAAAAUUAUCUCUUGGAUCAGGACAAAAAGAAUAUAGGAGAAAUGAAUUGAUAUUGAGAAGCAAAGACAAACUGAAUUUUUUAAGGAGAAAAACUCAGUGGUACCCUUGAUCUUGUCCAGCAUCUAAGGGGCUGCCACAAAGAAGAGGGGCUCAACCUAUUCUCCAUAGCACCUGAAGGCAGGACAAGAAGCAAUGGAUGGAAACUAAUCAAAGAGAGAAGCAACCUAGAACUAAGGGGAAAUUUCCUGACAGUGAAAACAAUUAAUCAGUGGAACAACCUACCUCCAGAAGUUGUGAAUGUUCCAACACUAGAGGUUUUAAAGAAGAUAUUGGACAAUGAUCUGCCUGAAAUGGUUUCCUGCUUGAGCAGAGGUUUGGACUAGGAAACCUUCCAACUCUGUUUUAUUCUGUUAUUUUUUAAUGUUUUUUUUCUUUUUCAACUUAUGCUAACCUUUCCCAGGAUCAACAAUUUUUCUCAUGUUUUCUGCCCAUGUUGCUUGCCCCGAAUGCGUGAACUUCUUGCUUCAUCCCCUCAAGUGAAAAAGCAGUCAUAAAUUUUUCCAAGAUUCACUUAGUGCUUCUUGCAAUAACUCUUAUCAACCAUCUCCAAUUUCAUAUCUUGAAGCAAUGUUCUCUCACUCUUACGUCGAGCUUUCAUAGCCAUACACAAAAAUCACUGCUGUAAUUUGUUGUCGCAGAAAUGUCCUGUAUAGACUAAUCCCAGGGGUGACAGGUUCAGCAGGUUCUGACAGGUUCUGGAGAACCGGUAGUGGAAAUUUUGAGCAAAAGAAGAAGGGGACGGCAGAGAACGAGGUGGCUGGAUGGAGUCACUGAAGCAGUCUGUGUGAGCUUAAAUAGACUACGGGGUAUGGUAGAGCAAAGGAAGGCCUGGAGGAACAUUGUUCAUGGGGUCGCGAUGGAUCGGACACUACUUCACGACUAUCAACAACAACAAGUAUAUUAAGUGUACAUAUAUUCCAAAAUUAAUGAAAGCUGCAUGAUGGAACUAGCCUAAUGAAGACUCAGAUGACCUAAGGAUCUGUGUAAAUGUAUACAGAUAGUCCUCCACUUACAAUCACAAUUGGGACCAGAAUUUCCAAGAUGGUUAAGGUAAUUAUUCCUGAUUUUUUAAAAUCUUUUUUGCCAUGGUUGUUAACAUUUAUAUUGCAUUUGCAUAGCACCAGAGGUUUCUGAGAGAAGUAGCUCACUGUGAAUGGAAGAGGAAUGAAAAUUUGUCCAGUGGAUCAAGCUAGUCACCUGGGAACAGAGUCACUGGUUGCAUUUGUGUUGCAUUUGCAUAGUACCAAAGGUUGCUGGGAGAAGUACUUUACCAUGAGUUGAAGAGAACUGAGACUUGGUCCAGUGGAUCUAGGGAGCAUCUAUUUACACUGACUUUGUGAAAUUAUUCAUUGUGAGGGUAUCUGAUCUUCUGAUCAAAAGUGCAUCAAGCAAUAGUUCGCCUUUGAUAAAUGCUUGUGUGAUUGUGAUUUUAUUUUAGAGUAUCUGGUUUAGUUCACUGCAACACUUGUUUUUCAGCUGUUUUUAUGGUAUUUUUGGAUACUGUCCUAUUUGUAAGCAGAUUGUUAGUUUACAUGGAUUGAUUGCUUGGUUUUAUCCACAAAUCUAUGCUAUUUACUAGUUUUCUGCAUAAUCUAUUUUAAGGUUGACUGGAGUCUCCUCUGGGAAGAGAUUAGAGGUUGUGCAACUGUUUGGAUGCACUUGUGCAGAAGCAAUACUGCUAUUAUAUAUACUGUCUUUUCUGAACCUUGUUGCAAGAAUGAAGUAUUGUAAAAAGGCAGGACUGUCCAGGAACAAGCCCCAACCGAUUA